UUUUCUAAAAAUUAAAAAAAACCCGUAUCUGUAAUAAAGUUAUGUGAAUGUGGGGUCUCUCUCAACAUGUCUCACUGUCCUGUACUCACCCUCCGUCUGAGGACAGGUGGUGAUAAGACCCCUGCGUGGUGACAUGAAGCGACACGAAUGACGCAGGUGGCUGUGACGGAGUGGUAGGCCACCACUGACCUCCUGACCACACAGCAGAAGGAGCAUCAUUUGCUCCUGGCCGAAGCUGACCCCGGGUAAUGGACCGAGGAAAGUGGAACUUCAGAUAAGGUUAACUACUGAGGUUCACUACUGAACUGCGGCUGAGGUUAACUGCAUGAGGGUACCUAAUGUAGGUUUCCUUCUACUCCUCAAACUGACUUUUGUCAAAAACAGCGUAUGUAGCCCACUCAUCUCUGCUCAGGCCCAAGCCUCUGUGGGAGGUCUGGGGGUCCUCAGGCUAUGGGUGGGCUUUCUCUCCCCUUCAGUGGUCUCCCACUGGGUGCACAGUGUCUCUUGGUGUAUUUGGAAAUAUUUUUGGUGAUCACCAUGGUUGGUCACCCCUCCCCAGUGACGGGCAUUCAGCGUCUGGGGCUAGGAACACUGAGUGUCCUACAUUGCGUUGGACAGUUUCAUCCAGUUAAGAUUUGUCCCACCCCAAAUGCCAAUAGCUGGGUUAGCUGACCCUCAGGACCCAAAGAUGGACAACACAACCAGCCGGCUCUGUUUGUGAGGGGCUUUGAAGAAGACUAGGAAAACUCAGAGAAGUCAUCUCAAUGUGCACUCCGAGGGCCUCAGAUUCUACCACCAGAGCUCUGUUUGGGGAUCAGGAAGCCUGUCAGCCUUGUCCUAACGGUACCCGUAUGAAAUACAAACACCCAAGAAGAGGUCAAGUCAUGAGCAUUGUCAGCCAUAACUAGGAUUUCAACUCUUAUUGAUAAUUCUGAUAAGAGUGCAGAGUGUGCUGUGAUGCUCUAAAAAAAUACAGAUUCCUGGGUAUGAUUCAGUAGACGUGGUCACCAGCCGCAAUGAUCCCUGUCCCCUGAUAGUCACACCUUUGUGUGGUCCCUUCUGCACCGGUAUGUGCAACCGACAUAUAGCAUGUGGCAGAGGGAUAGCACGUCACUUCGAGAUUACGUUAUAAAAGAUCGGGACUUCUGUGUUGGAUGCUCGCCCUUCUCACCUGUUCUCGUUCUCAUUCUCUCUCUCUUUCUCUCAGAUCACUUGCUUUGGAGGAAGCCAGCUGUCAGGGUGUGAGGACACUCAAGCAGUUUAUGAAGAGGUCCACGUGGCAAGGAACUGAAGCCUUUUGCCAACAACCGAGGUGGAAGUGAAGGAGCCGUGUGAGGGGGCCAGGAUGGAAGGAGGCCCUCCAGCCGCAGUCAAGCCUUCAGAUGGCUGCAACCCUGGCCAUCAGCCUGCCUACAAGUCCAGGAGAGACCCUGAGCCAGAACCCCAGCCAAGCUCCUCCCAGAUCCCUGGCCCUCUGAAAGGUCCCUCCAUGCUGAAGGCCAUCUCCCCUCGCCACCCAAGGAAAAGUGACCUCGGGAAUUCUGGCUGAUCCCACACAGACAGGACGAUGGAAAAAGGAGCCGUGGUCGAUGGUGUCAGCACGGAGUUGAAUUGUGGGACACUCCACUGGCAUCAGAAAACUGCUUGGUGGCGAUGGAAAAAACCCCACACACAUCAGAACUGGUGUCAGAAUCGGACCAUGUGACUCAGCAAUUCCAUUUCCCAGGCACCUACCCGAAAGAGUUGCAAAUAGGGACUCAACAAAUACUUGCACACGAAUGUUCAUAGCAGAAUAAUUGACAAUAGCCAAAGCGUGGAAAGAACUCAAACGCCCAUCAGCAGAUGAAUGGAUGGACAAAGAGUGACAGACCCACAUGAUGAAAUACAUGCCACAGUGUGGACGAACCUCAAAAUUUUAUGCUGAGUGAAAGACGGUAGGCCCAAAAGGCCACAUAUGAUCCCACUCAUCUAAAUAACCGGAGGAGAGAAAUUCACAGAAACAGAAAGCAGAUCGGUGGUUGCCAGGAAUAAGAGGGAAAUGGAGAGUCACCGCUUAGGGGACAUCGAUUUUCUUCUGGGGGGGUUGAAAAUGUUUUGGAACUAGGUAGAGGGGAUAGUUACACACUAUUAUGAAAAUAUGAGAUGACACGCAAUUGAACGCUUUAAAAUGGUUAAUGUGGGGGGCGCCUGGUUGGUUCAGUGGGUUGAGCAUCCGGCUGUUGGUUUGGGCUCAGGUCAGGGUCUUGUGGUUUGUGACACUGAGCCCCGCCCGUGCUGGGUUCCACAGCACGGAGCCUGCGGGCUUCUCUCUCUCCCUCUCUCUCAGCCCCUGCCCUGCUCGAACUCACACGUGUACGUGCUCUCUCUCCAAAAUAAACCUGAGAUGAGACAACCUGGUAUAAAAUCAAACACUACACCAGGGGUUCUCAAAGUGGGGCCCCUGGACCAGCAGCACCAACGUCCCCUGGGAACUUGUUGUGGGUGGAGAGCCUCUCCGGAGGCUGUGUGUUCCCAGUGCAGCAGAGAUGCCUGCCCGCCCAGGGAAGGGCCCCUCUCUGCCCCAGGACAGCUGUAACCCUACCCACCCCUGUAUAAAAGCCCCUGGUCACCCCUUACCCUUCCCGGUCGAUGUGUGGCAGGGUCGGCUUGGGCGUGUGUCUCAGCUU
Molecule: long non-coding RNA, 2666 nt
Organism: Felis catus (domestic cat)
Lineage: Eukaryota; Metazoa; Chordata; Mammalia; Carnivora; Felidae
Exons: 3
Source: RefSeq, a predicted model, not a curated record